AACGAACGCUGGCGGCAUGCCUAACACAUGCAAGUCGAACGAGACCUUCUGGUCUAGUGGCGCACGGGUGCGUAAAGCGUGGGAAUCUGCCCUUGGGGUCGGAAUAACAGUUGGAAACGACUGCUAAUAACGGGUGAUGACGUAAGUCCAAAGAUUUAUCGCCCAAGGAUGAGCCCGCGUAGGAUUAGCUAGUUGGUGAGGUAAAGGCUCACCAAGGCGUGGAUCCGUAGCUGGUCUGAGAGGAAGAUCAGCCACACUGGGACUGAGACACGGCCCAGACUCCUACGCAAGGGAGGAGUGCGGGAUAUUGGACACUGGGCGAAAGCCUGAUCCCGCAAUGCCGGGUGAGUGAUGAUGGCCUUAGGGAUGUGAAGCUCUUUUAACCGGGAUGAUAAUGACGGUACCGGGAGAAUAAGCUCCGGCUAACUCCGUG
Molecule: ribosomal RNA, 433 nt
Filed under: uncultured bacterium
Lineage: Bacteria
Description: partial 16S ribosomal RNA
Rfam family: Bacterial small subunit ribosomal RNA
Source: RNAcentral